GGGCCGGUUGUCUAGCUCGGUUAGGAUGUCAGGGUAACACCCGUCAGGCCCUUACACGGCGAAGCGCCAGCGCGCGCCAAGGUCGGCGGUUCAAAUCCGCCCCGGCCCA
RNAcentral lists this transfer RNA (109 nucleotides) under archaeon. RNAcentral describes it as "tRNA-OTHER". The record is from RNAcentral.